RNAcentral lists this ribosomal RNA (406 nucleotides) under uncultured bacterium. Its description in RNAcentral is "partial 16S ribosomal RNA". It matches the Rfam family "Bacterial small subunit ribosomal RNA", at positions 30 to 526 of the family's 1533-position model. The record is from RNAcentral.
AUUGAACGCUGGCGGCAAGCCUAACACAUGCAAGUCGAACGAGUGGCGGACGGGUGAGUAAUGUCUGGGAAACUGCCUGAUGGAGGGGGAUAACUACUGGAAACGGUAGCUAAUACCGCAUACCAUCGGAUGUGCCCAGAUGGGAUGAGCUAGUAGGUGGGGUAAAGGCUCACCUAGGCGACGAUCCCUAGCUGGUCUGAGAGGAUGACAAGCAACACGGGAAUUGGGACACGGUCCAGACUACGACGGGAGGCAGCAGUGGUGAAUAUUGCACAAUGGGCGCAAGCCUGAUGCAGCCAUGCCGUGUGUAUGAAGAAGGCCUUCGGGUUGUAAAGUACUUUCAGCGGGGAGGCGUUACCCGCAGAAGAAGCACCGGCUAACUCCGUGCCAGCAGCCGCGGUAAUAC